Long non-coding RNA from Mauremys reevesii (Reeves's turtle), 535 nucleotides. RefSeq lists it as uncharacterized. The record is from RefSeq and is a predicted model, not a curated record. The transcript has 3 exons. NCBI's taxonomy places the organism in Eukaryota, Metazoa, Chordata, Testudines, Geoemydidae.
GGGAAAAAAUUAAAAGUGGAGUGAAGGGAAGGAAAAUGUUACAAAGAAAAACAAAGAACAAACCCAGUUUUCAAUAGCAAUCUCUUGAAAAUUUGCUACAAAAUAGGUUUAGCCCGAGUCAGUCCUGGUGUACAGAAGGAAAGUAAUAAAGGCGUACCAAGAAGCACAGCCCCUGCACUACCUCAGGCAGCUAGCAAAAGGAACUGAUGGUGUGGAACUGGUGCAUUACCUUGGCCAAGAUGUCCUCCUGCUGCAAGUGAACAAGAACCUGUCAGAGACUUGGAUGCCGCUAGGGAUCAGGGGUGAUUAAUAGCAACAGAAACCAGCAGCAUUUCCCCCCUGCACCUGCCCAUGUCUCAGGGACAGAUUUACUGUCCUGACCCCUGGGAUGGACUCUUGUCUUCCUCUCUAGUGACCUCCAGUGUUAAAUACCCGCCCCCAUUGUAGGGUGAGCUCUGGCCUCCAUUCCCUCAGCCUCCCUCUGAUAGGUGUUCCACCUCCACACCCCCCUGGGGACACAGCUCAAGUUCUCAGA